Molecule: ribosomal RNA, 253 nt
Filed under: uncultured bacterium
Lineage: Bacteria
Description: partial 16S ribosomal RNA
Rfam family: Bacterial small subunit ribosomal RNA
Source: RNAcentral
UACGUAGGGGGCAAGCGUUGUCCGGAUUUACUGGGCGUAAAGAGCGUGUAGGCGGCCAGGUAGGUCCGUUGUGAAAACUCGAGGCUCAACCUCGAGACGCCGAUGGAAACCAUCUGGCUAGAGUCCGGAAGAGGAGAGUGGAAUUCCCGGUGUAGCGGUGAAAUGCGCAGAUAUCGGGAAGAACACCCGUGGCUAAGGCGGCUCUCUAGUACGGUACUGACGCUGAGACGCGAAAGCGUGGGGAGCGAACAGG